Molecule: transfer RNA, 76 nt
Filed under: Thermoanaerobacterales bacterium
Lineage: Bacteria; Bacillati; Bacillota; Clostridia; Thermoanaerobacterales
Also listed under: 1 other name
Description: tRNA-Lys
Rfam family: tRNA
About the family: Transfer RNA (tRNA) molecules are approximately 80 nucleotides in length.
Source: RNAcentral
GGGUCAUUAGCUCAGGUGGCAGAGCACCUGACUUUUAAUCAGGGUGCCGGAGGUUCGAGUCCUCCAUGACCCACCA